This is a non-coding RNA of Microtus ochrogaster (prairie vole), 372 nucleotides long. The record is from the annotation of a RefSeq genome assembly. Lineage: Eukaryota; Metazoa; Chordata; Mammalia; Rodentia; Cricetidae.
AUGGAUGUGAGACUGAGAUGGAUUUUCCUUUUUGCUCUUUUAAAAGGUGUCCAGUGUGAUGUGCAGCUGGUGGAGACUGGAGGAGGCUUGGUACAGCCUGGAGGAUCCCUCAAACUCUCCUGUGCAGCCUCUGGAUUCACAUUCAGUGACUCCUGGAUGGACUGGGUCCGCCAGGCACCAGGGAAGGGCCUAGAGUGGGUUGGUAGAAUUAAACAUAAACCUAAUAAUUAUGAAACAAGCUAUGCAGAGUCUGUGAAAGGCAGAUUCACCAUCUCAAGAGAUGAUUCCAAAAGCAUGCUGUACCUGCAAAUGAACAGCUUAAGAGUUGAAGACACCGCCAUUUAUUACUGUGCUAGACACACAGUGAGAUGA